Molecule: long non-coding RNA, 482 nt
Organism: Oncorhynchus tshawytscha (Chinook salmon)
Lineage: Eukaryota; Metazoa; Chordata; Actinopteri; Salmoniformes; Salmonidae
Source: Ensembl
GGCAGGUAGUCUAGUGGUUAGAGUGUAGAGGUGGCAGGUAGUCUAGUGGUUAGAGUGUAGAGGCGGCAGGUAGCCUAGUGGUUAGAGUGUAGAGGCGGCAGGUAGUCUAGUGGUUAGAGUGUAGAGGCGGCAGGUAGUCUAGUGGUUAGAGUGUAGAGGCGGCAGGUAGUCUAGUGGUUAGAGUGUAGAGGUGGCAGGUAGUCUAGUGGUUAGAGUGUAGAGGCGGCAGGUAGCCUAGUGGUUAGAGUGUAGAGGCGGCAGGUAGCCUAGUGGUUAGAAUGUAGAGGCGGCAGGUAGCCUAGUGGUUAGAGUGUAGAGGAGGCAGGUAGCCUAGUGGUUAGAGUGUAGAGGCGGCAGGUAGCCUAGUGGUUAGAGUGUAGAGGCGGCAGGUAGCCUAGUGGUUAGAGUCUAGAGGAGGCAGGUAGUCUAGUGGUUAGAGUGUAGAGGCGGCAGGUAGUCUAGUGGUUAGAGUGUAGAGGCGG